This 1054-nucleotide long non-coding RNA is filed under the name Homo sapiens (human). Its description in RNAcentral is "HSALNT0163792". Lineage: Eukaryota; Metazoa; Chordata; Mammalia; Primates; Hominidae. The record is from RNAcentral.
CAGGCGGAGACACUUUAGUGUAACAACCACUGCGCUCAUGCCAGGCCCGCGAAAGGGCGGAGCGCGCACCCUCUGAGCUCCGCUCCGUGCGAAGCGGCGGGGCUGAGGGCUCAGGGUGCGGCAACUACAGGGUAGACGCGAAGAAAUAAUAGAAACCACCCUAAAUAGAGGUACAUUCAGAACUUAGAAACUCUCCCCUUCGCUGUGCUCCGAAAAUCGCAACCUUGCCUGGCUUCUGGUCGCUGACCUGGUUUUCGCCCUCGCGCUUAUUAGGUCUACGAGAGGGCCGUGAAACAAAAAGAUCUGUUCUGUUACGUGCUGCGAGCCCGCGCUCCCGAAAAUUUGGCAUUUCUGCGAGAGAAGCGUCUUCCGCGGCGUUUCCCGCCAAGACUGGGGGCGUCGCCUUCAGAACACUUUCUUCUGUGCAUUGAGGCAGGAAGUGUGAGGUGUCGGGAUGCUGCCUGUGGGCUCGUCCUCGGGCUUCUGCCCAAGCAGCCGUCUCCCAUUUUUUAAAUCCCCAGUGAUCCCUUCAUUGCCGAGCUCAACUGGGAGAUGUCAGGCUGCAAGUGUGCUCUCUGCUCUCUCAGGAGAGGGGUGGCCGCGGACGUGGUCUGAGAACCAAGUUCUGCGCAUUAGUCUGCAUUCAAUACCUUUAAAUGCCAUUAAUGCCUUCUGGUGUUCUGUGUGGCUUCUGCCCUAGGUGCUUUACCCGCGUUAUUUCGUUAAAGCCCUGAGAACCGAGGUCUGUUCUGUCUUAGCCCACCUGACGGCACUGAGGCCUGGGGUUGUGCCGCGGGUGGGCCUGGCUGAUCCCAGAGCGCAUGCGCAGCCCUUGUCACGUAGCGCCACAGAAGCGCCAACUUCUGUCGAUGGGCAAUUUGAGAAAAGUAACAGAAGGCCUUUUACUAGUUGAAGUUUCUAGGAGUGUUCAUGGAAACCCCACUGCCCUUCUCAUAAUUAUCUAUCCUCCCAACUGAUACUGACACCUUAAUUGUACUUAAGGGGCACCACCCCUCUGCCAUUGGAUGAAACUUUACUUUAUCUGUCAAUCAAG